ACCGAUCACGUCUAUAAUGCAGUCGACGCUUUGUGGUUCAACUGAUUUGAAGAGCUUGCUCAGAUAUGACGAUGGACAUUGCAAAGAGUGGCGAACGGGUGAGUAACACGUGGGAAACCUACCUCUUAGCAGGGGAUAACAUUUGGAAACAGAUGCUAAUACCGUAUAACAAUGACAACCGCAUGGUUGUUAUUUAAAAGAUGGUUCUGCUAUCACUAAGAGAUGGUCCCGCGGUGCAUUAGCUAGUUGGUAAGGUAAUGGCUUACCAAGGCGAUGAUGCAUAGCCGAGUUGAGAGACUGAUCGGCCACAAUGGGACUGAGACACGGCCCAUACUCCUACGGGAGGCAGCAGUAGGGAAUCUUCCACAAUGGGCGAAAGCCUGAUGGAGCAACGCCGCGUGUGUGAUGAAGGGUUUCGGCUCGUAAAACACUGUUGUAAGAGAAGAAUGACAUUGAGAGUAACUGUUCAAUGUGUGACGGUAUCUUACCAGAAAGGAACGGCUAAAUACGUGCCAGCAGCCGCGGUAAUACGUAUGUUCCAAGCGUUAUCCGGAUUUAUUGGGCGUAAAGCGAGCGCAGACGGUUAUUUAAGUCUGAAGUGAAAGCCCUCAGCUCAACUGAGGAAUUGCUUUGGAAACUGGAUGACUUGAGUGCAGUAGAGGAAAGUGGAACUCCAUGUGUAGCGGUGAAAUGCGUAGAUAUAUGGAAGAACACCAGUGGCGAAGGCGGCUUUCUGGACUGUAACUGACGUUGAGGCUCGAAAGUGUGGGUAGCAAACAGGAUUAGAUACCCUGGUAGUCCACACCGUAAACGAUGAGUGCUAGGUGUUUGAGGGUUUCCGCCCUUAAGUGCCGCAGCUAACGCAUUAAGCACUCCGCCUGGGGAGUACGACCGCAAGGUUGAAACUCAAAGGAAUUGACGGGGACCCGCACAAGCGGUGGAGCAUGUGGGUUUAAUUCGAAGCAACGCGAAGAACCCUUACCAGGUCUUGACAUCCCUUGACAACUCCAGAGAUGGGAGUGUUCCCUUUCGGGGACAGGUGACAGGUGGUGCAUGGAUUGUCGUCAGCUCGUGUCGUGAGAUGUUGGGUUUAAGUCCCGCACGAGCGCACCCCUUAUUACUAGUGCAGCAAUCAGCUGGGCACCUCUAGUGAGACCUGCAGUGACCAAACGGCAGAGGGUGGGGAUGGAACGUUCCAAAAAU
This 1203-nucleotide ribosomal RNA is filed under the name Weissella confusa. Its description in RNAcentral is "bacterial SSU rRNA". It matches the Rfam family "Bacterial small subunit ribosomal RNA", at positions 65 to 1193 of the family's 1533-position model. Lineage: Bacteria; Bacillati; Bacillota; Bacilli; Lactobacillales; Lactobacillaceae. The record is from RNAcentral.